CCUACGGGAGGCAGUAGUGGGGAAUAUUGCACAAUGGGGGAAACCCUGAUGCAGCGACGCCGCGUGAGUGAAGAGGUAUUUCGGUACGUAAAGCUCUAUCAGCAGGGAAGAAAAUGACGGUACCUGACUAAGAAGCCCCGGCUAACUACGUGCCAGCAGCCGCGGUAAUACGUAGGGGGCAAGCGUUAUCCGGAUUUACUGGGUGUAAAGGGAGCGUAGACGGCAGCGCAAGUCUGGAGUGAAAUCCCAUGGCUUAACCAUGGAACUGCUUUGGAAACUGUGCAGCUAGAGUGCAGGAGAGGUAAGCGGAAUUCCUAGUGUAGCGGUGAAAUGCGUAGAUAUUAGGAGGAACACCAGUGGCGAAGGCGGCUUACUGGACUGUAACUGACGUUGAGGCUCGAAAGCGUGGGGAGCAAACAGGAUUAGAAACCCUUGUAGUC
This 440-nucleotide ribosomal RNA is filed under the name uncultured bacterium. RNAcentral describes it as "partial 16S ribosomal RNA". It matches the Rfam family "Bacterial small subunit ribosomal RNA", at positions 338 to 795 of the family's 1533-position model. The record is from RNAcentral.